This 216-nucleotide ribosomal RNA is filed under the name Glomeromycotina sp. RNAcentral's name for it is "partial small subunit ribosomal RNA". The stretch from base 40 to 216 matches the Rfam family "Eukaryotic small subunit ribosomal RNA", at positions 686 to 864 of the family's 1831-position model. The record is from RNAcentral. Lineage: Eukaryota; Fungi; Glomeromycota.
GGGUCAGUAGGUUGGUCGUGCCACCGGUACGUACUGGUCUCACUGAUUCCUCCUUCCUGAAGAACCGUAAUGCCAUUAAUUUGGUGUUGCGGGGAAACAGGACUGUUACUUUGUAAAAAUUAGAGUGUUUAAAGCAAGCUAACGCUUGAAUACAUUAGCAUGGAAUAACGAAAUAGGACGAUCGAUCCUAUUUUGUUGGUUUCUAGGAUUGACGUA